ACUGGUGUCACAGGGGACAGCACGUCUGAGGCAGGACAUGCACCUCAAUUCCUCCAUCCACUUUGUAGUUCUUGCUGAUAUGAGUAGUGAGGGUCAGCUGUGAGCCAUGUGAAUGAUGGCUAAAUAACUAUGAAAUUCCCUUUUCCUGGCACGGUGUUGUUUUAAGGCUUAGUGUUUUUCUUCCUCUUUUUGUUCUGUGACACUUUCCUCUCCGUGCUCUUUAUCACUUACAACUCCCAGUGACUUUUCCUCCUGCAGUCAGCAGAGGGAGAUACGUCCCUUACAUAAAACUACAACAAAUUAGACACGGAAUCGUGCUCACUCCUUGUGCACUCACAGGGCCCUCUGCAGCUCAGCUUGUGAGACUGAGGAGCCGCUGUCACAGGUGCCAUCUCUACACCGUGUAACUGUGGGCUUUCCCCACCCAGCAGUGCAGAUCUCCCCCAUGAUGUCACAGUCUGGGAGGUGACAAAGGGGAGCAGCCCGAAGCCCCUGGAGAAGCAGCGCUGUGUCCGCCAUGUGGGUCACGCUGCUCUUCUUGGUGCUCUUCCUGCCUCCGACUGUGAUGACCAGAGCGUUGAUUUUCCCUUUCCGUGAUCUUGAGCAGGAUCCGUCAAGGAGGCAUUCGCAGAAUUUGCAACAGCACUCAGAUGCCCUUUCUGCCGAAGGAGAUGAAGAGAAGAUCUCUGAGGAAGCAGAGGCACUAGAAUCCAGAUUUGGACCCCAUUAUCGUGCCCUACAGAACUACAAUGAGGAGCAGCCUUUGAAUGUGUUGGACAACGCUGAUUUGAUUCAAGGGAACAAAACUGCUGUAGUCAUAGAAGAAUGUUUUAAAGAGAAUGUGAUUCUUGCUGCGUCAUCUAUAGCUCUUGUGAUGUUCUUUGUACUUCUGGCUUCUAUUUGUGUGUUUUUUACAAAACGCAGGAUGAAAAAAGGAUACCACAGGCGGAGCUCAGGAAGGCGGGCAGACGCUCCCCAGCAGCCAGAGGUGCUGCGGCCUUCCCCAGCGCUGUGGGCCGCCCUGGGCCUGCCUUUGUGAGGGUCCAGCU
Molecule: long non-coding RNA, 1049 nt
Filed under: Coturnix japonica (Japanese quail)
Lineage: Eukaryota; Metazoa; Chordata; Aves; Galliformes; Phasianidae
Description: lncRNA (ENSCJPG00005003631.1)
Source: RNAcentral